This 1503-nucleotide ribosomal RNA is filed under the name Escherichia coli. RNAcentral describes it as "partial 23S ribosomal RNA". It matches the Rfam family "Bacterial large subunit ribosomal RNA", at positions 1461 to 2925 of the family's 2925-position model. The record is from RNAcentral. Lineage: Bacteria; Pseudomonadati; Pseudomonadota; Gammaproteobacteria; Enterobacterales; Enterobacteriaceae.
GCGAAGGGGGGACGGAGAAGGCUAUGUUGGCCGGGCGACGGUUGUCCCGGUUUAAGCGUGUAGGCUGGUUUUCCAGGCAAAUCCGGAAAAUCAAGGCUGAGGCGUGAUGACGAGGCACUACGGUGCUGAAGCAACAAAUGCCCUGCUUCCAGGAAAAGCCUCUAAGCAUCAGGUAACAUCAAAUCGUACCCCAAACCGACACAGGUGGUCAGGUAGAGAAUACCAAGGCGCUUGAGAGAACUCGGGUGAAGGAACUAGGCAAAAUGGUGCCGUAACUUCGGGAGAAGGCACGCUGAUAUGUAGGUGAGGUCCCUCGCGGAUGGAGCUGAAAUCAGUCGAAGAUACCAGCUGGCUGCAACUGUUUAUUAAAAACACAGCACUGUGCAAACACGAAAGUGGACGUAUACGGUGUGACGCCUGCCCGGUGCCGGAAGGUUAAUUGAUGGGGUUAGCGGUAACGCGAAGCUCUUGAUCGAAGCCCCGGUAAACGGCGGCCGUAACUAUAACGGUCCUAAGGUAGCGAAAUUCCUUGUCGGGUAAGUUCCGACCUGCACGAAUGGCGUAAUGAUGGCCAGGCUGUCUCCACCCGAGACUCAGUGAAAUUGAACUCGCUGUGAAGAUGCAGUGUACCCGCGGCAAGACGGAAAGACCCCGUGAACCUUUACUAUAGCUUGACACUGAACAUUGAGCCUUGAUGUGUAGGAUAGGUGGGAGGCUUUGAAGUGUGGACGCCAGUCUGCAUGGAGCCGACCUUGAAAUACCACCCUUUAAUGUUUGAUGUUCUAACGUUGACCCGUAAUCCGGGUUGCGGACAGUGUCUGGUGGGUAGUUUGACUGGGGCGGUCUCCUCCUAAAGAGUAACGGAGGAGCACGAAGGUUGGCUAAUCCUGGUCGGACAUCAGGAGGUUAGUGCAAUGGCAUAAGCCAGCUUGACUGCGAGCGUGACGGCGCGAGCAGGUGCGAAAGCAGGUCAUAGUGAUCCGGUGGUUCUGAAUGGAAGGGCCAUCGCUCAACGGAUAAAAGGUACUCCGGGGAUAACAGGCUGAUACCGCCCAAGAGUUCAUAUCGACGGCGGUGUUUGGCACCUCGAUGUCGGCUCAUCACAUCCUGGGGCUGAAGUAGGUCCCAAGGGUAUGGCUGUUCGCCAUUUAAAGUGGUACGCGAGCUGGGUUUAGAACGUCGUGAGACAGUUCGGUCCCUAUCUGCCGUGGGCGCUGGAGAACUGAGGGGGGCUGCUCCUAGUACGAGAGGACCGGAGUGGACGCAUCACUGGUGUUCGGGUUGUCAUGCCAAUGGCACUGCCCGGUAGCUAAAUGCGGAAGAGAUAAGUGCUGAAAGCAUCUAAGCACGAAACUUGCCCCGAGAUGAGUUCUCCCUGACUCCUUGAGAGUCCUGAAGGAACGUUGAAGACGACGACGUUGAUAGGCCGGGUGUGUAAGCGCAGCGAUGCGUUGAGCUAACCGGUACUAAUGAACCGUGAGGCUUAACCUUACAACGCCGAAG